This 77-nucleotide transfer RNA is filed under the name Candidatus Margulisiibacteriota bacterium. RNAcentral's name for it is "tRNA-Arg". It matches the Rfam family "tRNA". Rfam says of the family: Transfer RNA (tRNA) molecules are approximately 80 nucleotides in length. Their secondary structure includes four short double-helical elements and three loops (D, anti-codon, and T loops). Lineage: Bacteria; Bacillati; Candidatus Margulisiibacteriota. The record is from RNAcentral.
GCGUCCGUAGCUCAGUUGGAUAGAGCGUCGGAUUCCGGUUCCGAAGGUCGUGGGUUCGACUCCCUCCGGGCGCACCA